This 551-nucleotide long non-coding RNA is filed under the name Solanum tuberosum (potato). RNAcentral describes it as "long non-coding RNA (STUB_LNC010823)". The record is from RNAcentral. Lineage: Eukaryota; Viridiplantae; Streptophyta; Magnoliopsida; Solanales; Solanaceae.
UCAUUGCAGUUUAUUUUGGAUACUUCGAAAAUUUGUUGCAAACACACCCUGGAAAACUUCAUCCAGAAAACCAUAAAUUAUCAAUGUCCCCUUCGUAAAGAUACAAACGGUUUCCAUGUGAUCAUCACUUAUAGACAUACCAGUUCAGCAAAGAUACAAAAAGGUAGAAAGACACUACAGACCAUCAUUUCUUUCUCUUUUCCUUUUCUCAUAUAUUAUUUCCGCUUAUGUUUUCCAGCUUACACACUUCACAUUAAUAUGAACUCAAUACAAAUUAAAUUACAUUAGAAAGACACUUCUUUGGGUGAGCACGACGAGAUAUGAACAUGCUUGAGACAAUACUUACAAGUAUUAGAAGCUACGUGUAAGUAAAAGCAUCAAACUCAGCAUCCUGCUGCUUUCAAGAACUUAUCGUAGGGGCUUGAAGGUGGCAGCCUAAAGGACUGUUGUCCAUACUCCCGAGAACAAGAGAGAGAGUUUUGUGUAUGAGUUGAUUCAACUGUUGUUAAUUGUAGAUCCUGGUGAAGCACCAUAUCCUGCACAAAAGGAAA